AUUGAACGCUGGCGGAAUGCUUUACACAUGCAAGUCGAACGGCAGCACGGACUUCGGUCUGGUGGCGAGUGGCGAACGGGUGGGUAAUAUAUCGGAACGUAUCCAAUAAUGGGGGAUAACUAAUCGAAAGGUUGGCUAAUACCGCAUACGUCCUACGGGAGAAAGCUAGGGACCUUCGGGCCUGGCGUUAAUGGAGCGGCGGAUAUCGGAUUAGCUAGUUGGUGGGGUAAAGGCUCACCAAGGCGACGAUCCGUAGCUGGUCUGAGAGGACGACCAGCCACACUGGAACAGAGACACGGUCCAGGCUCCUACGGGUGGCAGCAGUUGGGAAUUUUGGACAAUGGGCGAAAGCCUGAUCCAGCCAUUCCGCGUGAGUGAAGAAGGCCUUCGGGUUGUAAAGCUCUUUCACAAGAGAAGAAAACUUACCCUCUAACAUAGGGUGAGGUUGACGGUAUCUUGAUAAGAAGCACCGGCUAACUACGUGCCAGCCGCCGCCGUAA
Molecule: ribosomal RNA, 500 nt
Filed under: uncultured bacterium
Lineage: Bacteria
Description: partial 16S ribosomal RNA
Rfam family: Bacterial small subunit ribosomal RNA
Source: RNAcentral